UACGUAGGGUGCAAGCGUUAAUCGGAAUUACUGGGCGUAAAGCGUGCGCAGGCGGUUUUGUAAGACAGUGGUGAAAUCCCCGGGCUCAACCUGGGAACUGCCAUUGUGACUGCAAGGCUAGAGUGCGGCAGAGGGGGAUGGAAUUCCGCGUGUAGCAGUGAAAUGCGUAGAUAUGCGGAGGAACACCGAUGGCGAAGGCAAUCCCCUGGGCCUGCACUGACGCUCAUGCACGAAAGCGUGGGGAGCAAACAGG
RNAcentral lists this non-coding RNA (253 nucleotides) under uncultured bacterium. RNAcentral's name for it is "partial 16S ribosomal RNA". It matches the Rfam family "Bacterial small subunit ribosomal RNA", at positions 524 to 776 of the family's 1533-position model. The record is from RNAcentral. RNAcentral also lists the same sequence under 4 other names.